Molecule: non-coding RNA, 27 nt
Filed under: Mus musculus (house mouse)
Lineage: Eukaryota; Metazoa; Chordata; Mammalia; Rodentia; Muridae
Source: RNAcentral
GGGAAAGAUGCCUCUCUAUCCAUGGGC